CGGAAACGUUUCCUUCUGUGCGUUACGUACAUCCACUUUGUGCAAAAAUAAAAUAUACCCUAUUAAAUCUUUGAGUACCGGGCAUAAAAACUGAACCAGAAAUUUGUCUUUUCGUUUGUUUAGGAUCCAGCAACGUAAACGAAAUACACAGAUUCUUAUCGGCAUAUCGAUACGAAGAGCGUGUGUGGACUGAGAGAACAUCUGGUGCACAGGCCCGAAAUAUAUGGUUAACAAUUAUUCCGGGGGCUGUGCGUUUUGACCAUUCACUUAUGCGCACCUAGAUAGACCCACAUGACCGCAUGUCACCACCACACACAUUC
Molecule: long non-coding RNA, 320 nt
Filed under: Drosophila guanche
Lineage: Eukaryota; Metazoa; Arthropoda; Insecta; Diptera; Drosophilidae
Source: RNAcentral